Molecule: long non-coding RNA, 1900 nt
Organism: Triticum aestivum (bread wheat)
Lineage: Eukaryota; Viridiplantae; Streptophyta; Magnoliopsida; Poales; Poaceae
Exons: 3
Source: RefSeq, a predicted model, not a curated record
AAAAAGGACAAUGGGGGAGAUGGAAACAACCGCCCCUGCGGCACCACCGACACAUACCACGCCCAAUCUCCCCCAACCCCCUCGCCCCCACUUCCACAUCUCAGCCGAGAAAAAUCGCCGCCCCAAGCCCCCAACACUCCUACCGUGAUUGGGGUCUCCAGUGUAGGAGGAGCCGCGGCCCGUGGCGACUCUUCUCCCCUGCACCCCGAGCUUCGAUGGCCUCACUCUGGGAGCCGAAGUAGUCAAGGCGUGGUGGUCUCAAGCACAGAGACGCCGAUCCUGAUAGCGCCCUGGCCACACGCCGACGGCACGCCUUCAUGGCGGUCAUGCACAUGAGCGAUAGGAGAGGGUGGCACUAACUAUGGUUGCGGCACCGAUGAGUUCGCAGGACGAGCCCUGCGCGGCAUCGGCAAGACCGGUAUAGGUUGCCGCACCGGCGAGCUCUGUGGUACAUGCGACCAUGCCGGCGCAGUUCCUCAAGAUUGGAUGUCUGCACUCGCUGGUGAUAACAGCCAUCUUGGACGCCUUCUUCGAGGACCUCGGCUUGCUUAAGGCGAUGAUUGAUCGUCCGACUUACUCUGGUUGUGGCAUAGCAUGCACACUAGGUGUUUGUUCAUUUGUUUGUGCUGCCUUUGAUAGGUUCCCUGCCUGUCGAUUUUUUUUCUCUGCCAAGAAGUGCAUAUUGUUGAUUGUUCCUUCCUAAGUCUCUCGUACUGGCAUUUGUUUCUCUGUCAAGUUGUUAGCUUUGAGAUGCACUGUGCAGAUACAUAUACUUCUCUUUUUUUAUUGAAAGGAUACAUAUACCCCUACUUGUCUUUGUAACUGUAGCCCCGUCUAUCAGGUGAUUCUUUGACUUGUUGAGUUAACACCUGCUGUUUUUUCUGAAUGUUAUCUGAAUCUAGGAACCUACGUGAUUGCAUAAUUGUGGCUAAAUAUAUAUUGUUCAAUUCAUGUGUUGUGCUCCUACCUCUCUGCUCUUCUCUUGUGUGCUUACACCUUUUAUACUACUCAACUGUCUUCUAGAUUCCUGUGCGUAUCAUGAAUGAUUUCUUAUUUUCAGUUUAAUUCCAACAGAAUACGAGGAGCAUGCCCCUGGACAAUUUCAUAUGGUCAAAGCAUGAUUGCAUGAGUAUAACCUACAUCAGCCAUGAGGGUCUUCAGGUCUGCUCUAAAAUUAUAACUUGUAGUUAUUCUAAAUUGAUAAUGCUGGCAUGUAUGUGGAAUCAAAAAUCAUAGCUUGAAUUGCUUCUGAACAAUAAUAUUGUCUUCCAAUUCUAUAAUAUUUAUUUCCUAUGCCGAUACUAUUAACCUGUUCCUUGGUUUAUAUCUUCUCUAACUGGGUCAUUCUGUAUGUUGUGGCUGUAUCAGAGUAUAUGUCAACUAAUCAAAGAUGUAUACUCCUAAUGCUUUUUCUUACAAUUGUAUGGGUGAUUGUGAUGCACAAACUUCUAGCAGCAGUAGUGCUACCUGCUACUGCCAGUCGGUAGGCAGGCUGGUGCAACCGCCUGUCUUGAAGGUGAUGUCAUUUUGGGAAGCUUGUAUUAGAUAUAUAUUCUUUGGAGUGAAUAAAACCUUGAAUAAAAAAAGAAUGAAAAUAGAGGCGAGACUUCCCCUGUCUUAUUCUUAUAGGAGAUGAGAGACUUGAACGUGGGCUGGCAACAUCAACCUUUGUGCUGUCCAACACUCCACCAAGAAGAGCCCCUCAAUAAAACCAUAAGUAAAGAUUCCAACGUUUGAGAUUCUAGCAUGGAAAAAAAGGAUAUGGCGACUGAACUUAACCAGUCUGAUGCUACAUUUAUACUUGAAUAAAUUUGGUUUAUUCAUGGUUCAAAUGAACAGAUGGUGUUUAUUUAUCAUGUAAAGACAAAUGCAAUAUGGGAUAUGCACAAGUGUUCAUAUC